This 212-nucleotide ribosomal RNA is filed under the name uncultured Enterobacter sp. RNAcentral's name for it is "partial 16S ribosomal RNA". It matches the Rfam family "Bacterial small subunit ribosomal RNA", at positions 355 to 560 of the family's 1533-position model. Lineage: Bacteria; Pseudomonadati; Pseudomonadota; Gammaproteobacteria; Enterobacterales; Enterobacteriaceae. The record is from RNAcentral.
UGGGGAAUAUCGUACUAUGGGCGCAAGCCUGAUGCAGCCAUGCCGCGUGUAUGAAGAAGGCCUUCGGGUUGUAAAGUACUUUCAGCGGGGAGGAAGGUGUUGAGGUUAAUAACCUCAGCAAUUGACGUUACCCGCAGAAGAAGCACCGGCUAACUCCGUGCCAGCAGCCGCGGUAAUACGUAGGUGCCAGCAGCCGCGGUAAUACGUAGGUG